GACGAACGCUGGCGGCGUGCUUAACACAUGCAAGUCGAACGGAAAGGCCCCCUUGUGGGGUACUCGAGUGGCGAACGGGUGAGUAACACGUGAGUAACCUACCCUUGACUUUGGGAUAACUUCAGGAAACUGGGGCUAAUACCGGAUAGGAGCUCCUGCUGCAUGGUGGGGGUUGGAAAGUUUCGGCGAUUGGGGAUGGACUCGCGGCUUAUCAGCUUGUUGGUGGGGUAGUGGCUCACCAAGGCUUUGACGGGUAGCCGGCCUGAGAGGGUGACCGGCCACAUUGGGACUGAGAUACGGCCCAGACUCCUACGGGAGGCAGCAGUGGGGAAUAUUGCACAAUGGGCGGAAGCCUGAUGCAGCAACGCCGCGUGCGGGAUGACGGCCUUCGGGUUGUAAACCGCUUUCGCCUGUGACGAAGCGUGAGUGACGGUAAUGGGUAAAGAAGCACCGGCUAACUACGUG
Molecule: ribosomal RNA, 465 nt
Filed under: uncultured bacterium
Lineage: Bacteria
Description: partial 16S ribosomal RNA
Rfam family: Bacterial small subunit ribosomal RNA
Source: RNAcentral